This 577-nucleotide ribosomal RNA is filed under the name uncultured bacterium. RNAcentral's name for it is "bacterial SSU rRNA". It matches the Rfam family "Bacterial small subunit ribosomal RNA", at positions 102 to 674 of the family's 1533-position model. The record is from RNAcentral.
ACGGGUGAGUAAUACAUCGGAACGUAUCCUGGAGUGGGGGAUAGCCCGGCGAAAGCCGGAUUAAUACCGCAUACGCUCUGAGGAGGAAAGCGGGGGACCUUCGGGCCUCGCGCUCAAGGGGCGGCCGAUGGCGGAUUAGGUAGUUGGUGGGGUAAAGGCCUACCAAGCCGACGAUCCGUAGCUGGUCUGAGAGGACGACCAGCCACACUGGGACUGAGACACGGCCCAGACUCCUACGGGAGGCAGCAGUGGGGAAUUUUGGACAAUGGGGGCAACCCUGAUCCAGCAAUGCCGCGUGUGUGAAGAAGGCCUUCGGGUUGUAAAGCACUUUUGUCCGGAAAGAAAUCAUCGGGGCCAAUACCCCUGGUGGAUGACGGUACCGGAAGAAUAAGCACCGGCUAACUACGUGCCAGCAGCCGCGGUAAUACGUAGGGUGCGAGCGUUAAUCGGAAUUACUGGGCGUAAAGCGUGCGCAGGCGGUGCUGUAAGACCGAUGUGAAAUCCCCGGGCUUAACCUGGGAACUGCAUUGGUGACUGCAGCGCUGGAGUAUGGCAGAGGGGGGGUGGAAUUCCACGU